UCGCUUGCUUCCCGGAGCCCCUUGAAAUCCUACAGUUCUAGUCCAGUUAGAGGAAACCAGGUGUCCCCCUUCAAACCAUUCUUAGGUCCACUAGAAUGGAAGGACAAUGAAGGAGGCUCAGAUGGCAGCAGAGCUGGUAACAGAAAUGCUCUUAAAUGCUCGAGCUGCUUGUAAGCUGGUCCUGAGUUAUUGCCCUCCAUAAAGUGACCUACUGACCACCAUCACCUUCUGCUAUAAGAAUGGGAUAGGUACAGCUUCUCACUAUCCAUGCAAGCUAGUUAAUUUGGGAGAGCAAUGGAGAGGUCUGCUAAGAUGGUGCUGGUUCUUGCUCUUGCCCUUGCCACCUCUGCUGUGUGCCUUGUGGAGGGAAGAAACAUUCAGAGCAAGCCUAAACCUUACAAGCCUCAGAAUUUCUUUGGCUUUGGAGGCAUCAUUGGUCCUCCUGGACUUGGUGGUGGCUCAGGUCUGGUUCCUGGAGGCUUCGGGUUCGGCGGGCCAGGCUUCGGGUCCGUCCCCAUCAUCGGUGUUCCUGUGACUCCUGGUGCGGGUCUCCGAGCUCAACAUCAUGGUGGGAAGCCAUAAUAGGAUGGCUGGUAUUGGACGACCUUAUCCAUAUAUUCACUACGUAGAGGGGGAUGUCGAACCUUUUACUGAUGUAGAACCUCUUGCUUUGUUUAAGCGUGGUUUCUAGUUAUUUGCAGCAUCAGAGCAACUGUUGUUUUCAGACUUUGAGUGUGGUUGUCAGUCCCAUUCACUGGUUUGUAACUUAUUUAGUGUUGUAACAUGUAAGCACAUCAGUGCGAUUUAGUCCUUAUGUAAUGUAUAGCUUCAUGGUCUCUCUCUCUCUCUCAUACACACAAAAAAUGAACACAUGCACUACAAAAUCUUCUCUCUCUCUCUCUCUCACGCGCACACGCGCACGCACAAAGUAAACACAUGCACUAGAUAAUCUUUUCCUUUCAUCUAUUCCUCCUAAUGCAUGAGUUUUAAGUCUCUCAAAUUACUAGGACCUUAUCUGGUUAUUUUUUUCCUUAAAUACAUUCUUAUAUUAUCUCAAUGGUUCCCCAUCACUUUGUGUAAAAGUGGUUCCAAGUACUACACGGCAUAUAAAGUGAAAAAAACAACAUGGUCUGUGUUUUAACCAAACAACAUGAACCUUCUGAUGUUAUAAGUUUAAGCUUAAAAGUAACUGAGGUCCACUAUCAUAAUAGAAAAAUAACACUAU
RNAcentral lists this long non-coding RNA (1225 nucleotides) under Phoenix dactylifera (date palm). RNAcentral describes it as "long non-coding RNA (PDAC_LNC007550)". The record is from RNAcentral. Lineage: Eukaryota; Viridiplantae; Streptophyta; Magnoliopsida; Arecales; Arecaceae.